CCUACGGGUGGCUGCAGUGGGGAAUAUUGGGCACUGGACGCAAGUCUGACCCAGCAACGCCGCGUGAAGGCAGAAGGCUUUCGGGUUGUAAACUUCGUUUAAGGGGGAAGAGAAGAAGACGGUACCUCUUGAAUAAGCCAUGGCUCACUACGUGCCAGCAGCCGCGGUAAUACGUAGGGGGCAAGCGUUGUCCGGAUUUACUGGGUGUAAAGGGCGUGCAUCCGGAGAGACAAGUCAGAUGUGAAAUCCACGGGCUCAAACCGUGACUGGCAUUUGAAACUGGUUGCCGUGAGUGUCGGAGAGGUAAUCGGAAUUCCUGGGGUAGCGGUGAAAUGCGUAGAUAUAAGGAAGAACACCAGUGGCGAAGGCAGAUUACUGGACGAUAACUGACGGUGAGGCGCGAAAGCGUGGGGAGCAAACAGGAUUAGAUACCCGGGUAGUC
RNAcentral lists this ribosomal RNA (442 nucleotides) under uncultured bacterium. RNAcentral's name for it is "partial 16S ribosomal RNA". It matches the Rfam family "Bacterial small subunit ribosomal RNA", at positions 338 to 795 of the family's 1533-position model. The record is from RNAcentral.